Non-coding RNA from Otolemur garnettii (small-eared galago), 71 nucleotides. The record is from Rfam. Lineage: Eukaryota; Metazoa; Chordata; Mammalia; Primates; Galagidae.
UAUCUGUGAUGAUCCUAUCCCAAACCUGAAUUUCUGUUGGAAAAAACAUACAUGGAUGUGGCUCCUGUGAU